Molecule: ribosomal RNA, 582 nt
Filed under: uncultured Eustigmatophyceae
Lineage: Eukaryota; Eustigmatophyceae
Description: SSU rRNA
Rfam family: Eukaryotic small subunit ribosomal RNA
Source: RNAcentral
CGCGGUAAUUCCAGCUCCAAUAGCGUAUACUAAAGUGUUGCAGUUAAAAAGCUCGUAGUUGGAUUUCUGGCGGGGACGGCUGGUCGGUCUCGAAAGGGGCUGUACUGUUGCUGGUUCCCGUCAUCCUUGGGGAGAGCGGCUCUUACAUUAAGUUGUCGGCGUCGGGAUCCCUAUCUUUUACUGUGAAAAAAUUAGAGUGUUCAAAGCAGGCUUAGGCCCUGAAUACAUUAGCAUGGAAUAAUAAGAUACGACCUUGGUGGUCUAUUUUGUUGGUUUGCACGCCAAGGUAAUGAUUAAUAGGGAUAGUUGGGGGUAUUCGUAUUCAAUUGUCAGAGGUGAAAUUCUUGGAUUUAUGGAAGACGAACUACUGCGAAAGCAUUUACCAAGGAUGUUUUCAUUAAUCAAGAACGAAAGUUAGGGGAUCGAAGAUGAUUAGAUACCAUCGUAGUCUUAACCAUAAACUAUGCCGACUAGGGAUCGGUGGGUGCAUUUUUAGGCCUCAUCGGCACCUUAUGAGAAAUCAAAGUCUUUGGGUUCCGGGGGGAGUAUGGUCGCAAGGCUGAAACUUAAAGAAAUUGACGG